This 301-nucleotide ribosomal RNA is filed under the name uncultured bacterium. RNAcentral's name for it is "partial 16S ribosomal RNA". It matches the Rfam family "Bacterial small subunit ribosomal RNA", at positions 509 to 808 of the family's 1533-position model. The record is from RNAcentral.
CAGCAGCCGCGUAAUACGAAGGGGGCUAGCGUUGUUCGGAAUUACUGGGCGUAAAGCGCACGCAGGCGGCUCGAUAAAUUAGAAGUGAAAGCCUUGGGCUUAACCUGAGAAUUGCUUUUAAGACUGUCGAGCUAGAAUCCAGAAGAGGGUAGUGGAAUUCCGAGUGUAGAGGUGAAAUUCGUAGAUAUUCGGAAGAACACCAGUGGCGAAGGCGACUACCUGGUCUGGCAUUGACGCUCAUGUGCGAAAGCGUGGGGAGCAAACAGGAUUAGAUACCCGUGUAGUCCCUGUCUCUUAUACA